Molecule: ribosomal RNA, 253 nt
Filed under: uncultured prokaryote
Description: partial 16S ribosomal RNA
Rfam family: Bacterial small subunit ribosomal RNA
Source: RNAcentral
ACGGAGGGUGCGAGCGUUGUCCGGAAUCACUGGGCGUAAAGGGUGCGUAGGUGGCCCUGUAAGUCAGUGGUGAAAUAUCUCAGCUUAACUGAGAGGGUGCCAUUGAUACUGCAGGGCUUGAGUACAGAUGAGGUAGGCGGAAUUGACGGUGUAGCGGUGAAAUGCAUAGAUAUCGUCAAGAACACCGAUAGCGAAGGCAGCUUACCAAGCUGUAACUGACACUGAGGCACGAAAGUGUGGGGAUCAAACAGGA